RNAcentral lists this long non-coding RNA (1070 nucleotides) under Scophthalmus maximus (turbot). Its description in RNAcentral is "lncRNA (ENSSMAG00000024457.1)". The record is from RNAcentral. Lineage: Eukaryota; Metazoa; Chordata; Actinopteri; Pleuronectiformes; Scophthalmidae.
CGUUAUCUCUGCUCUUCUUUGUCUUGUUUAUGAGUUGUUUUUAAUCUUUUCAUUUAAAUGUCAGCAGAUGUGCUUCUGUGUUCGUCCAAUAGGAUUUUAGGAAACCAAACGAAUGAAAAGACACACUUGGAAAAUUGUGUUUUGAUUAAAUCACACUGGGCCUUGAAUUACACAUGGAUGAGGUGGCGAAAGACAAUGUGACUGGGGAUUAAAACUGGGGAAAAGGACAAACAGCUUUUUUCCACCUGCUGAAUGCACACAUUGUUUCGUAAUGACAACACAACAUAACAAAGGAAAUUCAAGAUGUAUCAGCUCACUUCCGGUUUCUAUGUUAAUAUUUAACCUUUCUAUUUUCCCUCCCCGUCCAACAUUCCCCCCGACUCUCCAUGUGAUGUGUGAAUCCUCGGCCGCCCGUGUGAUGCUGGAAAUGUUACGCAGACAGAGAUGCGGCGUUUGAGUUUUGACAGUCGGGAUGGUUAAGAGGAUCUGGAACGCUGUGACGCGCAGUUGAGAAGAAAAACAAAAAGCCGCUCGGACAAGCACAACAUUUCUCAAGACAUCCACUGUGGUCUUACAUCCAAAAGUAGGAGAGAAAAAAAGAAAUAGUGCAUCGAAUCCAGUCGAUAGAGAUUUCAUUAAAAGAAACCGAACUGGCGGUGUCCAGAGUGCACUGUUAUUACUGUCAGCUGCCGUUUCCACACUGGGACGCGUCUGUGGAUGUCACCACUAUGGAAAAGCCAAGUCCAUUUAAAAUGACGAGGCAACAAUUGUGUCACACUGCACUUUUUCUUCCCCCAAAACAAACAGAUACUGUUGCUGGUUCAUGCAAACAGGCAGGCGCUUCUUCAGCCGCCUCCCGGACCGGUUUGACACCAACAAAGCUCCACGCGCCUCGGCAGUCACAGACACAAGCACACCACCCUCCCACAUAUCUCCAUUCCGCCACCCGGGCCGACCGGCCUGCAGCUUAUGUGUCUGUCCUGUCACAUGCCUGUCACGGCCAGACAGGCUUGGCUUCUUGCAGGGGAUCUGAGCUGCCUUACCCUUUGAACAAUGAUCUCACACCCUAG